This is a long non-coding RNA of Gallus gallus (chicken), 1007 nucleotides long. The record is from Ensembl. NCBI's taxonomy places the organism in Eukaryota, Metazoa, Chordata, Aves, Galliformes, Phasianidae.
AAAUCAUCAGAGCUCAGCAGAAGUCAGUGCAGCUGUAGUGUUUUGGAUCAACCAAGGAUAUGGCCUUAGAGUCUUCCUUUUCAGAAGAAAAAUACAAAUCUUGAUUCUUCUCUGCCAUAUGCUCUCUACAAAGCUGGUUCUUCAAGUCUUUUCCAUGAAGAACAAUGGAGAUUCAGAAAAGGAAGUACAAAGGACUAAAACUGUAAAAAAACCAGACUGUAGUUGGAGCAUUUUGUCUACGGAAGAGCUGCAAUCUAUAAAACAGAAGUACACUCCUUCAGAUGUUCUACACAAUUGCAAAUCAAUUGUUUAUUAUGCGUCCCUGGGCAGUUAAACUGAUCAAUAUCUCAGUUUCAUCUUUGUAUGUACAUUGCGGAAGAAAAUUUUCCUUUCCUCAUGUGAGUUGAAAGAACUGUUUGCUCUUUGUCAUUUCAUCCUCUCUGCUCUAGAGAGUGAGAGAAAAUUAUAGAGAAUGUUGACUAAAACCAUAAAGAUAUAUAAAGCCAACAUGACACCAACAACAUAGUUUAAAAUCCUUAAGAUGACAGCUCAUUUCUGAAAAUUCAGAAAUGCUUAAAUCUGCACACACGAUGAAGUGAAUAAAUGAAUGAGGUGAAAGAACUUUGGAAGGACCAAGUUGCUGAAGGAGAGAACUCUGAGAUCAUUUUGCACUGCAAAGGAAACAAUCCCUUGUCACCCCUUGCUUCCAGCAGAUGUCUGUCUUUCAAUUUCUGUUUAAUCUUUAAAUCUUUAAAAAUUGAAAAAUUGAUGAAAUUCUCUACGUUUCAAUCUGCCCUGAGAAGAUUUUCUUGAUUUUAAACCAAGACAGUAUGUUCUAACCAGCCUGAUGGUUCACAUGAAAUAUGAGACACGCGGGUCACAGUGUUGGAUUCCUCUCAUGGGAACAUAAGUUCUACUUUUGUUUCUAGAAUGUAUUUCGUUAACUCAUUUCCUUUGUCUUUGCUUCAUUUUCCUAAUCAUUAAAUAAAUAAAUAAAUAAAUGGGAU